CACAAAUCAACUAUCUAAUAUUGUGAUAAUCAAAUGAAAGAAGCAGUUCAUAAUUGCAUUAAAUGUGUCCUUGCCAAAACGACACCAAUAAAAAGUCUGAAAUGAAAUGGGAAAUGAAACACUAGUGAAACAUGCUCCACUAGCUAAAGCCUACAUCUAAGCUAGAUAAUAACAGUAGACAGCCUCGAAAGCAUGAGGGUCUACCAAGUCCGGAUGAAACCUCCACGCCCGGAUAAUUGCAACGUCUUACUGUAAG
This 256-nucleotide unclassified non-coding RNA is filed under the name Hevea brasiliensis (rubber tree). The record is from RNAcentral. Lineage: Eukaryota; Viridiplantae; Streptophyta; Magnoliopsida; Malpighiales; Euphorbiaceae.